Solanum verrucosum is the source of this 363-nucleotide long non-coding RNA. RefSeq lists it as uncharacterized. Lineage: Eukaryota; Viridiplantae; Streptophyta; Magnoliopsida; Solanales; Solanaceae. The transcript has 3 exons. The record is from RefSeq and is a predicted model, not a curated record.
CUUUCCUCUACUUGCAUAUAUAAUUUACAAUUGCUAAGACCCAAGAGACAAAGUGCUCAUUCAUCUUCUUCAAAUCUCUUCUUCUCCUGAUGAUGGUGCAAAGCUUAUGGGUUACGAGCUAAAUCAAUUGUACUAUUAAAGCUUCAUUUGGCGUUGUCGAUUCAACAAACACUUAAAACUUGCGAUCCUUAUGAUUGUGAACUGAGAAAUAUAUAGAAUUGGAUCCAGGUGUAUUCUGUCAUAUUUUUCUGAAAAACAAUAGCAAGUUUUGACAGAGACCAAAUGGAGAAUUGAGAUUCUGCACUCCUCUUGUGAACCAUUGCGGAAGGCAAGGGUACUACCAAAAGAGAAUCGUUAACCUCG